GGGCUCACACAAGCGGUGGAGCAUGUGGCUUAAUUCGAGGCUACGCGAAGAACCUUAUCCUGGACUUGACAUGUGCGAAAGCGCCAGCAGGUAGGACCCGGAAACGGGAACGAACGGUAUCCAAUCCGGAAGCUGGUACAGGUGCUGCAUGGCUGUCGUCAGCUCGUGUCGUGAGAUGUCGGGUUAAGUCCCAUAACGAGCGAAACCCUUACCCUUAGUUGCAACCGAUGAGGGCACUCUAGGGGGACUGCCGGUGUUAAACCGGAGGAAGGUGGGGAUGACGUCAAGUCCUCAUGGCCUUUAUGUCCAGGGCUGCACACGUGCUACAAUGGCGUGAACAAAGAGACGCGAGCCCGCGAGGGGGAGCUAAUCUCAAAAAACACGCCCCAGUUCAGAUCGAAGGCUGCAACUCGCCUUCGUGAAGUCGGAAUCGCUAGUAAUCGCGGGUCAGCAACACCGCGGUGAAUGUGUUCCUGAGCCUU
Molecule: ribosomal RNA, 482 nt
Filed under: uncultured bacterium
Lineage: Bacteria
Description: bacterial SSU rRNA
Rfam family: Bacterial small subunit ribosomal RNA
Source: RNAcentral